Molecule: ribosomal RNA, 230 nt
Filed under: uncultured bacterium
Lineage: Bacteria
Description: partial 16S ribosomal RNA
Rfam family: Bacterial small subunit ribosomal RNA
Source: RNAcentral
AAGGGUGGCGUAGGCGGGUAGGUAAGUCAGUGGUGAAAUCCUGGAGCUCAACUCCAGAACUGCCAUUGAUACUAUCUAUCUUGAAUAUUGUGGAGGUAAGCGGAAUAUGUCAUGUAGCGGUGAAAUGCUUAGAUAUGACCCGGAACACCAAUUGCGAAGGCAGCAGGCUAAACGAAUAUUGACGCUGAGGCUCGAAAGCGUGGGGAUCAAACAGGAUUAGAUACCCCAGU